CGGCGUUGGCGGCGCAGCUGGCUCGCGCGGUGGGCGCAGGUGGACGCAGGCGCUGGGCGACAGCUCUGAACAGAGUGGAGACAAGUGAGCCCGUGUUCCAGAGGGGAGAGACAGGAUGGCAAAACAGAAGAGAAAAGUUUCCGAAG
Propithecus coquereli (Coquerel's sifaka) is the source of this 146-nucleotide long non-coding RNA. RefSeq lists it as uncharacterized. The record is from RefSeq and is a predicted model, not a curated record. NCBI's taxonomy places the organism in Eukaryota, Metazoa, Chordata, Mammalia, Primates, Indriidae. The transcript is spliced from 3 exons.